CAGAGUUGCAAAACUCCCAACCAUUGUGAAUCUACCUCACCGUUGCUUCGGCGGGUGGCCCGGGGAACACCCAGGCCGCGCCGUCCCCGCUCGCGGGGGCCCGGCAAACCCGUCAGAGGACCGAAACUCUUCGUCAUCAUUGGCCUCUCUGAGUAACUUAUACAAUAAGUCA
This 172-nucleotide unclassified non-coding RNA is filed under the name uncultured Sordariomycetes. Its description in RNAcentral is "sequence contains ITS1". The record is from RNAcentral. Lineage: Eukaryota; Fungi; Ascomycota; Sordariomycetes.